This is a long non-coding RNA of Passer domesticus (house sparrow), 848 nucleotides long. RefSeq lists it as uncharacterized. NCBI's taxonomy places the organism in Eukaryota, Metazoa, Chordata, Aves, Passeriformes, Passeridae. The transcript has 4 exons. The record is from RefSeq and is a predicted model, not a curated record.
CAGCCAAAAUCCUCUCUGCAGGACAGCCUCAAUCCAAGGUGCUUCACCACUCAGAUGUGAAAUGUUUCUUUUGUACUAAGCCAGAAGAAAUUCACCAGACUGAAGACAGGCAAGAGGCAAAGAAGAAAUUCCCUCAUUGAUUCUGUCAAGAUCUUUCCUCCCCCUGACCUCUGGUCCCAUUUCAUAUUCGGUCAUUUCCUAUUUCACAGAGGCUACCUCUGCAAAAACCCACCAGCAAGAAAGAGAAAAGGGAUGAAGUUUUGAAAGAAGUCAUCUGAUCAGGCUGAUUACGUGAUGGACACCAGAUUAGCGGGCCCAGGAUAGGGAAACCCUGAUCAGGUGUUGCAAAUUUACCUCCAUACCUGCAAAAAAGAAAAAAAAAAGAAAAGAAAAAGAAAGAACAGAAGAAUAUUACGAAUUCAUUCCCUCUCUCCCCCGACAUAAAAGCAUUUUUUUCAAUAGAAAGUAAUUUGGGCAGCUGGUGAACUGUGGAGCUCACCAAUCUAUGAGAUCUCAAACACACACAAGCUGUGUCUUCAUGGUUCAAGGAAGAACUGACAUUAUGCCUGGAAGGAUUAUCAAUCACCAGCUGCACAAUAUCAUCUGUUGUAAAUUGGGAGCCUGAUUAAUAACAGGGAUUCGUGCAUGGUCCUUGAAAAUUGUGAUCUUUAUUGACUAAACUGGACUGGUGACUUUCUUUUUUCAUGUUGUUUGCACUCAAUUUGUGCUGCUUUCUGUUACUGCUAGUGUAUAUUACUAUUUCUGUUGUGAUUGUUUUCCACAUUAUAUAAAGUCAACAGUGAAGUGUUGGGUGAAGCAGGUAAAUUUUUUAUCAGUUGUGUAUGAGA